GGGGGACUGAGGAGUACAAGUGUUAUCAGAGGCCAGGAGGAAGGUCCUGUGGCUCUUGCUGUUCUUAUAGUGUCAUUUUGUUCAAGAUAAUCUCCUUCUGUUUGUCCCGACCAGUCCCUGUAUUUAAUUCAGGGCCUGCACAGAAUAAUCUCACAUUGCAGUUUGAUCAAGGACACAAUUCCGUAUGAAAGAGGAGAGCAGCUGCAAUCUGUUCCAAUGAAUGCAAAUUAGCUUCUACCCUGCAGCUUCUGGCUCUUUGGAAGAAGACUUCAGUUGGAAAGUUGGACUCCCUUGCCCUCUACCCUCUGCUGUCGAAGAUUAGCAGAGUCACAUCUUUCAUUCCUAUAGUCACAUUAGUACUAAGAAGCCUCUAAAGUACUUCAUUCUAGCAGAUAUGCAUAUCAGGACCCGAGUUUCUUUUAUCUUCCCUUCAAUUUCUGUUUCUAUUUUGGACACUUUGGCUUGAUGCAGCUUACAUUCAGAAAACGACACCAUCUGUCCCUCUCAUCAGAACCAAAUGCUUUUGUUGACAUUGGCAAUCAAGCUGCAUUUGCAGAGCUGAGGCUCAGAACACUGUUACUGUAACUGUUACUGGCUUUAAUGUAUUUGCUAGGUCAUUGCACAUGCUUUGUUCUGAAGUGUUUUUCUGUUUUGCUCUCUUUAGCACAUGUUUACGAGACAGUAUUUAAAGUUUUUUAAGCAAAUGAGAAAAUGUCAAGUGCCCCUCCACAGCUGGGAACUGAAAUAAAAAGUUUAGCUGUUCAUGCACAGCAAUUUAUAGCACAAUUUCAAGUCAAUAGCUAAAAUAAUUUUAAAUUGGCCUACUUGAUCCAGUACAAAAUGUAUUUUUAUUCCCUCGAGCCUUAUAGUCACAUUCUGCCACUGCAUGUGGCCUGUGUACCUCAAUUUCAUGUAACUUCCUUAAAUAAAGCUUUUCAUUGCAAACUACUCAGGAGUGUACUCUGGAGACCUUUCCAGUUAUCCAAAGGGUUGGGCACAUCAUAAAAAUGUGGGCUCAGGAAUUCAGUGGUAUUUAUUAAAGUCCAAUAUUGCAGCUUAUGCACCAGAUUUUGGAUGCAGUAGCACCAGAAUGGUCCCAUGCACAAAAAAGAGCAGAUUUGUUUUGUGUAAACCUCAAGAGAGCCAUGAUCUGACCAAAAGCUUAUUUUAUUGACCAAAUCUCAUAAUGUCCAAAAUUUUGAGGGCACAAAUCAAUGAUGACCUUAGCUGGAAUAAUUUGUGCACUUAGUGCUUAAAUAAUUGUCUGAUUACCUAUGCUUUGUAAACCUGCUCUUUUCCACACCUCAUAAAAGUUAUUUAAACAUGGCUCACAGUUCUAUGUUGACAGUGAAUGAAGGGCCUCAUCUCUGGCUCACUGUUUUCUUCUUGUGAAGAAGACCUGUUAUCUAUCAAUUUGGCCUUUGUGUAUUAUAUGUUCUUUAUACAGAAUUCUUGGUGCAUAUUUGUGUGGAUGGAAAUAAGAACUUGUUUUUGUUGCACACAAUUCAUUAGGUAAAAAGUAGAGGAUGCUUAUUGGCCAUAUAUGAAGUGAUUGGUACUAAGAACUGCUGUAUACUGCUCCCUUCCUCUACAUCUCUAAAAUUCUUUAGCUUGAUACUUAUGACUGACU
Dermochelys coriacea (leatherback sea turtle) is the source of this 1630-nucleotide long non-coding RNA. RefSeq lists it as uncharacterized. The record is from RefSeq and is a predicted model, not a curated record. Lineage: Eukaryota; Metazoa; Chordata; Testudines; Dermochelyidae. The transcript is spliced from 3 exons.